RNA transcript from Dermacentor andersoni, 2161 nucleotides. It is a transcript of the gene named 4-trimethylaminobutyraldehyde dehydrogenase A-like, with no coding region annotated. The record is from RefSeq and is a predicted model, not a curated record. NCBI's taxonomy places the organism in Eukaryota, Metazoa, Arthropoda, Arachnida, Ixodida, Ixodidae.
UGGUGCUGAUUUCCAGUUUACUUACGUCUUCCGUGGCCCCUUAUUUGAACAGGGAUUAACAUUAUCGUUGUUCUAUGGGCUUAAUUGCUAUCAACAGAAGCAGUGACACUUGCGCGUAUCGCGCGUCUUGCCAUUGGUCUUGCGUGUGAUAUAUGGUUGCCAUGGUUUCCAUUUAAUCUGUAUCGCGGCGAUCGCACCGGUCAUGCCCUCGGUCGUGCUUCGGCUGCCCCAGCUCGUGUAAAACACGUGAAAUGUUCGCGAAAACCAUGCGCUGUAGCAAGCGCUCACUCUACGUUGAGCCACAUAACUUUAUCGCUGGCAAGAAAGUUGCCGCCACCGAUCCCGUCGGGGAAAUCAAGGUACUGCAACCAGCGACAGGCAAAGUACUGUGUCACGUAUCCUCCUCCGGACCGAAAGAUGUGGACAAAGCAGUUUCUGCAGCCAAGAAGGCAUUUGAACGGUGGUCAGCACUCUCCCAUGGGGAGCGUGGAAAAUUUCUCACGGCCAUCGCACAAAAAGUCAGAGAAAGGCAGCAGGAAAUUGCUGAGAUUGAAAUGAUUGACACAGGGAAGCCCAUAUGGGAAGCUCUUGUUGACAUUGACGGCUGCGCCGACGUGCUCGAGUACUAUGGUGGCAUCGCAGCAUCAAUAAAAGGUCAGCAGUUCGAUCUGCCUGGAGGAAGCUUUGCCAUGGUGCGCCGUGAGCCACUUGGUGUGGUGGCAGCCAUUGGUGCGUGGAACUACCCAUUCCAGGUGAUGUCUUGGAAAAUGGCACCUGCGCUUGUCUGCGGCAACACCUUUGUCUUCAAGCCGUCACCCCUGACACCCCUGUCGGCCAUCCUGCUGUCCGAGAUCUGCCGCGAUGUCGGCUUGCCUGACAGUGUCGUCAAUCUUGUCCAGGGCGAGGGCAAGACAGGUGAGCUGUUGUGCGAGCACCCGGAUGUGGCCAAAGUGAGUUUCACGGGUAGCAUAGCUACUGGGCAGGCCAUCAUGCGCCGCUGUGCUGACUCAAUGAAGCGCUGUACCCUUGAGCUGGGGGGCAAGUCUCCGCUAAUUGUCUUUGCUGAUGCAUCACCCACUGAAGCUGUGAAGGCUACGUUGCUGGGCAACUUUCUAACACAAGGGGAGGUGUGCAGCAAUUGCACCCGGGUCUUCGUAGAAAAGCCACUGCUGGAAGAGUUUCUGGAUCAGCUGGUGAAGGCAACCAAGAAGCUCAAAAUUGGUGACCCCUCCGACCCAGAGACCACUGUGGGUGCAACCAUCAGCGCUGAGCAUGCAGCACUAGUCCAGUCCUACAUCGAAGGCGCUAAAAAGGAGCUGGUGGUGCUGCCUGACAUCCUGGUCCAGAUAAUUUUCAACGCUUGUGGAAAUGGCUGGUGGCCCUCCGAUGCCUUGUGCCUGGCUUACCGAAGGCCUACUAGUUGCUUGUCGUCAUGCGGCGCCAGGAGCACGUGUGCUGUGUGGUGGGGAGCGGGUGACUCCUGCCAACCCAGACCUGUCUGGCGGUUUCUACCUCAGCCCCUGUGUGCUAGCCGACUGCACCGACAGCAUGAGAGUCAUGCAAGAGGAGGUGUUUGGUGCAGUAGUCAGCGUCUCUGCAUUUGAGACCGAGGAAGAAGCUCUGCGCCGAGCCAAUGGCAGCCCCUUUGGACUGGCUGCUGGCGUCAUGACUAAAGACCUGAGGAGAGCCCACCGAGUAGCAAAGAAGCUUCAAGCAGGCAUCGUCUGGAUAAACAACUACAAUGUGUUCCCACCAGAGGUACCCUUUGGAGGGUACAAGAUGUCGGGAUACGGACGAGAAAAUGGCCUGGCAGCACUGCAAGCCUACUCCCAGGAGAAAACAAUCUAUGUGGAAAUGGGUGACAGUGUGGACUGUCCACUUUACAAGUUGUGAAUGAAAUGCAGCUGAAUCAGGCUCAUGCAGUUGCAUUUUCCCAGACAUUACAGAUGGCUUGUGGAGGUUCAAUGCACUGUGCACGUCCUUGCAUCCUGGUGAUCCAACAUUUCAAAUUGUGGCUCAAUUGAUGGAAUCCCAAGCAACUUGAAUGAAAUAACCUGUUCUUUAAUUAAGAUAAUGCACGACAAGUCGUGCAGGAAUGCCCAGCAGUGUUAUAAUUUUUUAUCAUCUGUAAAUAAAAGUGCUAAGACAAGUUGAACGGUAA